RNAcentral lists this transfer RNA (59 nucleotides) under Heterocephalus glaber (naked mole-rat). It matches the Rfam family "tRNA", at positions 7 to 64 of the family's 71-position model. Rfam says of the family: Transfer RNA (tRNA) molecules are approximately 80 nucleotides in length. Lineage: Eukaryota; Metazoa; Chordata; Mammalia; Rodentia; Bathyergidae. The record is from Rfam by way of RNAcentral.
GUAGCUCAGUGGUAGAGCACUUGCCCAGUAUGCACAGGGCCCUGGGUUCAAAUCCCAGC